RNAcentral lists this ribosomal RNA (447 nucleotides) under uncultured bacterium. RNAcentral's name for it is "partial 16S ribosomal RNA". It matches the Rfam family "Bacterial small subunit ribosomal RNA", at positions 29 to 523 of the family's 1533-position model. The record is from RNAcentral.
AGCGAACGCUGGCGGCAGGCUUAACACAUGCAAGUCGAACGCCCCGCAAGGGGAGUGGCAGACGGGUGAGUAACACGUGGGAACGUACCCUUUGGUUCGGAAUAACUUGGGGGAACUCAAGCUAAUACCGGAUAAGCCCUUAUGGGGAAAGGUUUACUGCCGAAGGAUCGGCCCGCGUCUGAUUAGCUAGUUGGUGAGGUAAUGGCUCACCAAGGCGACGAUCAGUAGCUGGUCUGAGAGGAUGAUCAGCCACACUGGGACUGAGACACGGCCCAGACUCCUACGGGAGGCAGCAGUGGGGAAUAUUGGACAAUGGGGGCAACCCUGAUCCAGCCAUGCCGCGUGAGUGAUGAAGGCCUUAGGGUUGUAAAGCUCUUUUACCCGGGACGAUAAUGACUGUACCGGGAGAAUAAGCCCCGGCUAACUUCGUGCCAGCAGCAGCCGCCG